GAUGAAGAACGUAGCGAAAUGCGAUAAGUAGUGUGAAUUGCAGAAUUCAGUGAAUCAUCGAAUCUUUGAACGCACAUUGCGCCCCUCGGUAUUCCGUGGGGCAUGCCUGUUCGAGCGUCAUCUACACCCUCAAGCCCUGCUUGGUGUUGGGUGCCUGUCCCGCCCCGCGCGGCGACUCACCCCAAAUGCAUUGGCGGCGGCGCCUUGCCCCUCCCACGCAGCACAUUGCGCUUCUCGAGGCGGCGGGACCGCGUCCACGAAGCCGACAACCCGUCUUUGACCUCGGAUCAGGUAGGGAUACCCGCUGAACUUAAGCAUAUCAAUAAGCGGAGGA
Molecule: unclassified non-coding RNA, 334 nt
Filed under: soil metagenome
Description: partial contains 5.8S ribosomal RNA, internal transcribed spacer 2, and large subunit ribosomal RNA
Rfam family: 5.8S ribosomal RNA (bases 1-120)
Source: RNAcentral